This 497-nucleotide ribosomal RNA is filed under the name uncultured bacterium. RNAcentral's name for it is "partial 16S ribosomal RNA". It matches the Rfam family "Bacterial small subunit ribosomal RNA", at positions 28 to 507 of the family's 1533-position model. The record is from RNAcentral.
GAUGAACGCUGGCGGCGUGCCUAAUACAUGCAAGUCGAGCGAACGGACGAGAAGCUUGCUUCUCUGAUGUUAGCGGCGGACGGGUGAGUAACACGUGGAUAACCUACCUAUAAGACUGGGAUAACUUCGGGAAACCGGAGCUAAUACCGGAUAAUAUUUUGAACCGCAUGGUUCAAAAGUGAAAGACGGUCUUGCUGUCACUUAUAGAUGGAUCCGCGCUGCAUUAGCUAGUUGGUAAGGUAACGGCUUACCAAGGCAACGAUGCAUAGCCGACCUGAGAGAGUGAUCGGCCACACUGGAACUGAGACACGGUCCAGACUCCUACGGGAGGCAGCAGUAGGGAAUCUUCCGCGAUGGGCGAAAGCCUGACGGAGCAACGCCGCGUGAGUGAUGAAGGUCUUCGGAUCGUAAAACUCUGUUAUUAGGGAAGAACAUAUGUGUAAGUAACUGUGCACAUCUUGACGGUACCUAAUCAGAAAGCCACGGCUAACUACGUG